AGCAGUGCCUGUGCGGGGCAUGAGCACCUUCCGCCUCCUGGUGCUGCAGCUGUGGUGAAGCCUACAAUGAAGAUGAUGUUCUCCAGAUGAUCCGGGAAGACUUCAGGACAUGGCUGGAAGCCCUAGGGGUCUCCAGUUCACAGGUUUUUCUUCUCUCCAACUGGGAUCUGGGAUUUCCACCAACUGAAGAGCACACUAGAACAGGAUCUUCCCUUUCUGCAGAGGCUGGUGUUUCUGCUGACCCUGCCCAGCUUCUCCAAGGAAAUCCUGGAGAAGAAAAGAUCCACACUGAAGAAGCUGGCCUGGCUGAUGGCCCUGGCCUCAGUUGGCACCAGUGCUUUUCCUAUCCCCAGCAUCUCUGCAAUGCAAUAUUCGGUUUCUGCUGGUCUCCACAAUUGGCUUCUACCAGCACUUGGGCCUGGAUGACGAAUCUCUUGAUGAAUAUCUGAGCUGCGUGACCAGUCAGGCCAACUUACCCAUGGCCGAGCUGAGCAGGGUGGUCACAGAUUCAAAACAUACAGCUACCCACUGUGCAGCUAACCUGCACCCAAAUAGCAGGCCACAUACUUGGAGGGAUGAAAGGACAUCUCAUCAGUGAGAACAUGGCAGGGCUGGGAGGCUGGAUGCCUGGGUUCCCUCCAGCUCUGGGACAGGGGUGGGGCCUGAGGGUCAUGUGAAACUGGGAUAGACUGGGGAGCAAAUCUUCUCCCUGGUCUUCUCUUCUCCAAAAUAAACCAUUCCAGUUCUUCCAGCCUGUCCUCCUCCAUCAUGGGAGGAAACAUGGUAGGUGUUGAGUUACUUCUUCCCUCUGCAUCAGUGCCUCCUAAAAAUUCCCUGGCUGACUUCUCUUUUUGGCCCUUCCCAGACAGGGGGCAGCAAGCCUGCCCAGCCCUGGAUCCUACAAGCACUUGGGCCUGCAUGGUGACUCCCUGAGGGUAGUGAUGAUAUCAUUACAAAUCCAGCAUGUCUUACCCAGCCCUGGCUUCUGGCCAGUGGACCUCAUGUCCUAUCUCUGGGAGAGGGGCAGCCUGUUGUGUUUGGUUGGCCUGCUCAGGUUGGCCUGUUGCUUUCGGUUUCAGGUCCUGGGACUGUGUGAAGCCUAAGACUGACUUUUGCCCCCUGGCAUCACCUCCAGAUGCUGCAGCCAUGGGGAACCACCAGUAUCAAGCCACAGCAAGUAAUAGCCAUGGGGAAACUGAGGCUGGACAUAAGAAAUGGAGGCAAUCUCUGAAAGUUUUUCAGAAAACCAUGAAUUCCUUUCAAGGUUUAACCUCAUAGCAGCAGCUGGCCACUGCUUUUGACAUCUACAAGUCAUUUGAGUCAUUCUUCCACUCCCAGGAUUACCAAAAAACAGCCAGUCAAGUGCAGGAGGAGCUGGAGUCAUUGGAAACCUUCCCACUGUGGAUUGCUGUAAUGGGUCAAAUGGGCUCUGGGAAAUCCUCCUUCAUCAAUGCCAUCCACGGGGUGAGACACGGAGAGAAAAGUGCUGCUGAAAUUGGGGCAAAUGAAACAACAAUGGAUUCCACCUCUUACAACUGUCCCUGCUACCCCAACAUCACAUUCUAUGACCUGCUGGGCAUCAGAUCCAUGCAUUUCCAGCCAAAGACCAACCUGAAGUUCGUCAACUCCAAUAGCUACUACUUCAUCAUCAUGGGCUCUGAGCAUUUCUGAUCCAAUGGUGCUGACCUAGCCCAGGAGGUCCAGAGGAUGGAGAAGAAGUUCUAUUUUGUGAGAGCCAAAGAGGACCACAACUUAGAAAAUGAAAAAAAGAGCCCAUGGUGAAGCCCACAAUGAAGACAACAUUCUCCAGAUGAUCCAGGACAAGUGCAGGAGAGAGCUGAAAGACUUAGGGGUCUCAGUCCAAAAGUUUUUCUUCUCUCCAAUUGAGAUAUAGCAAAGUUUGAUUUUCCACCUCCUGGAAGACACCCUAGAACAGGAUCAUCUCCAUUUGCAUAGGCUGGUGUUUCUGCUGAGCCUGACCAUCUUUUCCAAGGAAAUCCUGGAGAAGAAGCUAAUUGCACUGAAGAAGUUGACUUGGCUCACAGCCCUGACCUCAUCUAGCACCAGUGCCAUUCCUGUCCCUGGUGUAUCUCUGCAAUGCAAUAUCCAGUUCCUGCAGAUCUCCACAAUUGACUUCUACACUUGGGCCUGGAUGAUGAGUCCUUGAGAUGCAUGACCAGGCAGGCUGACCUGCCCAUGGCCGAGUUGAAGCGGGUGAUGAGAUUACUGCAAAUCCAAAACAUACAGCUUCCCAUUGUACAGGUACCCUGGGCCUGGGCAGCAGGUCAUAUACACAAAGAGAUUGGGAGGCAUCUGAUUAGUGUACUAGGAAAUGCAGCAUGUUCCUAUAUCUUCUCUGUCUACUGGCUCACCAUAGUUCUGGAUGAGCCCAUGGUUCUGCUGAUGCCCUCCAGGGGCAGGCCAAUGCUUUGGGAGAAGAGCAUCAUUAAAGGGAUUAGAGGAACUGCCUCCAAGAAUUGUGGCCCCAUGGACCACUCACAUCCUUCCAUUUCAGAAAGUUGAUGCCAGAGAUGAGUGGGUCCUUCCUCAUCUUCAUCUUCUUCCUGGCUCCCAGGUAGAGGAACAGAGGGUGAAUGGGGGCAUCUUUAGCAAGCCCCCUUGCUUUCAACUCAUUGUGAAUUUAUUUCAGCCCUUUCAUGGGCUUCAUUACCUGGUGGUUUCUCUUGUAACAACCCAUCCUGGGGUCAGUCCAAUCAGAGGCAUCUUCUACCAGACAGAGGAACCUUUGGAGAAACCUCUUUGGAGGCCUUGUUUCCUUUUUUCUUGAGAUGGGUUUUGGGAUCCACCAAGUCUCAUCAUGUGUUAAUGGAAUAAAACUAACCAAUCUUGGA
Alligator mississippiensis (American alligator) is the source of this 2852-nucleotide long non-coding RNA. RefSeq lists it as uncharacterized. The record is from RefSeq and is a predicted model, not a curated record. Lineage: Eukaryota; Metazoa; Chordata; Crocodylia; Alligatoridae. The transcript is spliced from 2 exons.